This 741-nucleotide ribosomal RNA is filed under the name Pseudo-nitzschia hasleana. Its description in RNAcentral is "eukaryotic LSU rRNA". The stretch from base 288 to 442 matches the Rfam family "5.8S ribosomal RNA". Lineage: Eukaryota; Bacillariophyta; Bacillariophyceae; Bacillariales; Bacillariaceae. The record is from RNAcentral.
CGGAAAGAUCAUUACCACACCGAUCCAAGAUCUGUCUUCAUUGUGAAUUCGGAUGGCAUUGGCAGCAUUAACGUGCUGUACUUUGUCGUCCACUGUGUUUGGCUUGUAUUUGCGUGCAGAUGCAGGCCAUCCAUAUUUCUUCUAUAUGGUAAAACUUAUAUGAAAUUUGUUGAUUCUAGUUUUUACUAGUAAUCUGCAAGACCGAAAUGACCUAAAGCUAAAGUGCAGCUGGUUUGGUGUUGAGCUUCGUGCCAGCACCACCCUGUACAUAAAACCUAAUGACUUACAACUUUCAGCGGUGGAUGUCUAGGUUCCCACAACGAUGAAGAACGCAGCGAAAUGCGAUACGUAAUGCGAAUUGCAAGACCUCGUGAAUCAUUAAAAUUUUGAACGCACAUUGCGCUUUCGGGAUUUUCCCGGGAGCAUACUUGUCUGAGUGUCUGUGGAUCCCACUCAGCGCUGGUUUACCAGUUGCUGGUUGCUUUGGCUUUGAUAGCUCUUGGCUGUCUUCGCUUAAAUUCUACAUCACUGUACGUGCAUAGAUCUAGUAGGGUCUUGGUCUGUCUGAAUGACGGCGUUGACACUCUCAUCUAUCUCUGGUAGCUUGUCUCUGGAGUUUAAAUUGAGUUUGUUGUUAGCUGUUUGCCAUACUGCCGAUUCAUUGUCUAUGAUCUAGGUAUUGGAUUAUCCGAUAUCUACACAAUUCCGGAUCUCAGAUCAAGUAAGAUUACCCGCUGAAUU